This 405-nucleotide ribosomal RNA is filed under the name uncultured bacterium. RNAcentral's name for it is "partial 16S ribosomal RNA". It matches the Rfam family "Bacterial small subunit ribosomal RNA", at positions 33 to 526 of the family's 1533-position model. The record is from RNAcentral.
GACGACGCUGGCGGCGUGCUUAACACAUGCAAGUCGAACGAGUGGCGGACGGGUGAGUAAUGUCUGGGAAACUGCCUGAUGGAGGGGGAUAACUACUGGAAACGGUAGCUAAUACCGCAUACCAUCGGAUGUGCCCAGAUGGGAUUAGCUAGUAGGUGGGGUAAAGGCUAACCUAGGCGACGAUCCCUAGCUGGUCUGAGCGGGUGACCAGCCACACUGGAACGUGGAAACGGUCCAGACUCCUACGGAAGGCAGAAGUGGGGAAUAUUGCACAAUGGGCGCAAGCCUGAUGCAGCCAUGCCGCGUGGAUGAAGAAGGCCUUCGGGUUGUAAAGUACUUUCAGCGGGGAGGCGUUACCCGCAGAAGAAGCACCGGCUAACUCCGUGCCAGCAGCCGCGGUAAUAC